Oryzias latipes (Japanese medaka) is the source of this 2905-nucleotide non-coding RNA. NCBI's taxonomy places the organism in Eukaryota, Metazoa, Chordata, Actinopteri, Beloniformes, Adrianichthyidae. The record is from RefSeq and is a predicted model, not a curated record.
AUUUGACUGUAUUGUCUGUAGGAUUCCCAAUAAAAUGCCCUAUAAAUUGUUAGGCACGGCGGUGGAAGCAUAAUGCCCAGGGGCUAUUCUGGUGCUUAAAAAAAUGAGAGAAACUUCUGGUUAAUUUGACAGGAUUUCUGUUCUUCAGGGAAACUGAACUUUAAAAAAUGUUUAACGGCUCAUUUAAGGAGCUUGACAAUAUCCACAGACUGAUGAUUUUGUGUUCCAUCAAUGCAGUGAUGGCUGCUAAUACAAAAAAUACAAAACUUUCACUGUCCUCAGUUGAUUUGAAAAUACACCAUUAGCCAAAAGUUUGACGCACUUGUCCACCGUUUUGAAAGCACAAACGCGUUCAAAUAUAUUCCUCCCUUCUCAUUUCCAUAAAGAAUUCAUGUAAACUUCUGCCCUGUAACUAGUUUAUCAGGAUCACACACACACACACGAUUGGAAUAAUGACAGUCUUUUCCUCUUGAUUAUGCCAGUCUGAACGUCCACAUAUCCUGUAGUAGUCAAAGCUGUAAAUAGAACUUGUUGAUAUGCCAGUCAGGGACACAAGUGUUAUAGCAGGAUUCAGACAAAGUCUUGGAAUCUCCAGGUGCAGAGGGUUUUUUUUUUUCCUAAAUGUGUCAUGGAGUCUGCUUUCCUCACUUUUAUUCUUGUUUUUUUUCUCACAAUGUGCUCCAGUCAAAUUGGAACCACAGAUUUGAAUGAUGUUGUGGUGGCUGAAGAGAACAUGCCUACCACCCUGGGCUGCACUGAUACAACAGCGAAAGGUGACAUAUCAAUUAGCUGGAUGGUGAAAUCACUCAGCACGGAUGAAUGGAAGCUGCUUCUCACCGCCACUGAAAGGAACAAUUUCUCUGGUGCCUCUUCGAGAGCAUCCAUGCAAUUGCUUGACAGGAACUUCAAAGACAGCGGAGUGUUUUCACUGUAUUUGGUACCCACAGUGGAGGACAGCGGUCUCUAUACCUGUCUCAUAAAACAAAAAGGGAGGAAACUAAAGGAGAGGAUUCAUCUACUAGCAAUACUUAGAGUAAGAAUCGUUCCUGCUCCACCCCUCCCUCAGCACAGCACCCUGCGGUUGAUAGCCAAAGUUACUCCUGAAAAUGCCGUCACCAAAAUCACUUGGACGGCACCAAGUGGAAUGCUCAUGAAGACCGAGCUUAAGCCAAACACAGGGGUGGUAGCCAAGCUGCCGCAGAUCCAAACCAGUGACCGUGGGACCUAUGUCUGUUCGGUCUACUCCCAGAAAAACAGUUCUCGUGUGUUCGCCACACAGGUGGAAGUCACUGUUGACGCAGGCAAAGUGGCUGAAUUCAAAAAUGCAACACAUGGCUCAAUGAUCUUCACUGGUGUUCAGGCUCAGAAACCCUACCUCCUGACCUGUCCUGAUGUCCCUGGGGACUUAGUUGUGCUGCAUCGACUACCUGCAGAUGUCAAGAAGAGGGAAAUGAAAGUCGCACAUGAGUACGACCGCUGGAGGGAUUUCACCUUCCAAACAGAUCAAAGCAAACGUCUUCGGCUGGCCGGUCCACCCUUUAAUGCCAAGGCUGGGAUAUUCUCUUUCCUGCUCACCCCUGAGUUAAAAGAUGGUGGCCUCUAUGUCUGCGAAGUUUCUCUCAAUGAUAACAUCUUCAGCCAAUGGACAACACUCAGUGUGCUGAAAGUUAAAACUAGAUAUUAUGCUUCAAGGGUGGAGUUGCUGUGCCUUUACUCCGAGUUGUCCCAGGUCCAAAGUGCCAAGUGGAAGCACCAUAAUGAGAGUCGUCGGUUGGAGAUGUCGAGCAGCAAGCCUGGGUGCAUCAGCACUGUCCUGCCUUCACCCAUCACCCCUGAAACAGCAGGGAACUACACCUGCAGCCUGCAGCUACAAAACGGACAGGUCAUCCAGGCGGUCCAGGCUGUCACACUGCCCCUUAAAGAGAGCGUGAGUGUCACCACCCCCUCCCCACUUCCUUCUCUGUCUGCUUUAUUACUCCUUGUGCCCCUGGUUGCUGCAGCUGUCGGUGUGUUGCUAUGGAGACAGAAACACAUUUCUGAUCGCGGUAUUGAACAGUCUCUGUCUGUCCAUUCGGGUGAAGCAGAGAACAUCUAUGAGAAUCCUGCAGAUAUAAGACAGGCUCCUCCCCAGGGCUCGGUCUAUAUGGUGAGUUAUUGUGUCAUCCCCUGCACCAAGGCAUUGUGCAUAUAUGUCUGUGUUAAGCACUUUAAUGUAUUGGUGCAUACAAAGUCUCAUUAAGUCUCUUGCACCUUCCCUAAGCUGUCAGCAGAUACAUCUUCCUUCACACUUGCAACUCUUUCUCUCCAAUCUAUCAGCCCUGUCUAAGAUAAGCCUGCUGCAUAUCAGCAGUCAGCCAUACAUUAGUGGUAUUAACAAAUCAAUCUCAUUACACACUGGAGAGAUAUAAAUCUGGCCUCAGUGCCUUUUCUAUUCCUUUACUGCCCUACCCAGCCUCUUUCUUUUUCCUUCAGCACUCUUCUUCUUUGUACCAGGAUUUGAAGCCAAGAGGAGAAGAUGAUGUCUAUAAGGAACUGGAGCGAUAUGAGCAGUGUCAGGGCUGAUCACCUACCCACAUCUCGCCCUCGUCCAGCUGUCACAAUCUCUCUGUACCCAGCUGCCGUAAAAUACUUUUAUAAACAGGAAAAAGAGCUAAAUGUCAGAGCAGAAAAACAUCAAGGCCUUGGGGAAAUGCUGCUGAGCUGGGCUUUUCAUUCUGUAUAAGCUGCAGAUCCUCAUAAAAUGCUGAUUUACCCAAAAUGCCUUGCAUUUAUUUUUAGGCUAACAUACUUAUGUAUUGUAUUUUUUUUUUUUUUUAGCUUUGAAGCAUAUUAUAUUGUAGUCGUAUCGUAUCAUUUAAAAAAAAUGCCCUUGUGACUUUUUCUAAAUAAACAUUCUCCUAAAAUA